AGUCGAGUAGCUCAAUGGAUAGAGCGCCUGUGGGUUCUAAGUAUACUCUAAGUCACCUUUUUAGUAUACACCUAAGGAGGAUAUUGGUUCAAGUCCAAUCUCGACUGCCA
RNAcentral lists this transfer RNA (110 nucleotides) under Alphaproteobacteria bacterium. RNAcentral describes it as "tRNA-OTHER". It matches the Rfam family "tRNA". From Rfam's summary of the family: Transfer RNA (tRNA) molecules are approximately 80 nucleotides in length. The record is from RNAcentral. Lineage: Bacteria; Pseudomonadati; Pseudomonadota; Alphaproteobacteria.